AUUGAACGCUGGCGGCAUGCUUUACACAUGCCAGUCGAACGGCAGCGCGGGCUUCGGCCUGGCGGCGAGUGGCGAACGGGUGAGUAAUGCAUCGGAACGUGCCCAGUAGUGGGGGAUAGCCCGGCGAAAGCCGGAUUAAUACCGCAUACGACCUGAGGGUGAAAGCGGGGGACCGAAAGGCCUCGCGCUAUUGGAGCGGCCGAUGUCGGAUUAGCUAGUUGGUGGGGUAAAGGCUUACCAAGGCGACGAUCCGUAGCUGGUCUGAGAGGACGACCAGCCACACUGGGACUGAGACACGGCCCAGACUCCUACGGGAGGCAGCAGUGGGGAAUUUUGGACAAUGGGGGCAACCCUGAUCCAGCCAUGCCGCGUGCGGGAAGAAGGCCUUCGGGUUGUAAACCGCUUUUGUUCGGGAAGAAAUCCUCUGGGCUAAUACCCCGGGGGGAGGACGGUACCGGAAGAAUAAGCACCGGCUAACUACGU
This 483-nucleotide ribosomal RNA is filed under the name uncultured bacterium. Its description in RNAcentral is "partial 16S ribosomal RNA". It matches the Rfam family "Bacterial small subunit ribosomal RNA", at positions 28 to 506 of the family's 1533-position model. The record is from RNAcentral.